GGAUUCCCCUAGUAACUGCGAGUGAAGCGGGAAGAGCUCAAAUUUAAAAUCUGGCGUCCUCUGGUCGUCCGAGUUGUAGUCUGGAGAAGCGUCUUCCGUGUUGGACCGUGUACAAGUCUCUUGGAACAGGGCGUCAUAGAGGGUGAGAAUCCCGUCUUUGACACGGACUACCAAUGCUUUGUGAUGCGCUCUCAAAGAGUCGAGUUGUUUGGGAAUGCAGCUCAAAAUGGGUGGUAAAUUCCAUCUAAAGCUAAAUAUAGGCGAGAGACCGAUAGCGAACAAGUACCGUGAGGGAAAGAUGAAAAGCACUUUGGAAAGAGAGUUAAACAGUACGUGAAAUUGCUGAAAGGGAAACGCUUGAAGUCAGUCAUGUCUGCCAGGACUCAGCCUCGCUUCUGCUUGGUGUACUUUCUGGUUUGAUGGGCCAACAUCAAUUUUGACCGUCGGAGAAAGGCUUUGGGAAUGUGGCACCUUCGGGUGUGUUAUAGCCCUUUGUUGUAUACGACGGUUGGGAUUGAGGACUGCAGCACGCCUUUAUGGCCGGGGUUCGCCCACGUACGUGCUUAGGAUGUUGGCAUAAUGGCUUUAAGCGACCCGUCUUGAAACACGGACCAAGGAGUCUAACAUGCCUGCGAGUGUUUGGGUGGAAAACCCAUGCGCGUAAUGAAAGUGACAGCUGAGAUCCUCUCAUCAGGAGCACCAGCGCCUGGACUUGAUCUACGGAGACAGUUCUACGGUAGAGCAUGUAUGUUGGGACCCGAAAGAUGGUGAACUAUGCCUGAAUAGGGUGAAGCCAGAGGAAACUCUGGUGGAGGCUCGUAGCGAUUCUGACGUGCAAAUCGAUCGUCAAAUUUGGGUAUAGGGGCGAAAGACUAAUCGAAC
This 882-nucleotide ribosomal RNA is filed under the name Tomentella sp. RNAcentral describes it as "partial large subunit ribosomal RNA". It matches the Rfam family "Eukaryotic large subunit ribosomal RNA", at positions 72 to 940 of the family's 3401-position model. The record is from RNAcentral. Lineage: Eukaryota; Fungi; Basidiomycota; Agaricomycetes; Thelephorales; Thelephoraceae.